Molecule: ribosomal RNA, 253 nt
Filed under: uncultured bacterium
Lineage: Bacteria
Description: partial 16S ribosomal RNA
Rfam family: Bacterial small subunit ribosomal RNA
Source: RNAcentral
UACGGAGGGUCCGAGCGUUAUCCGGAUUUAUUGGGUUUAAAGGGUGCGCAGGCGGUAUAAUAAGUCAGUGGUGAAAUCCCGAGGCUCAACCUCGGAACUGCCAUUGAUACUGUUGUACUCGAGUAUAGACGAAGUAGGCGGAAUGUAGCAUGUAGCGGUGAAAUGCUUAGAUAUGCUACAGAACACCGAUUGCGAAGGCAGCUUACUAGACUAUUACUGACGCUAAUGCACGAAAGCGUGGGGAGCGAACAGG